RNAcentral lists this ribosomal RNA (252 nucleotides) under uncultured bacterium. Its description in RNAcentral is "partial 16S ribosomal RNA". It matches the Rfam family "Bacterial small subunit ribosomal RNA", at positions 524 to 776 of the family's 1533-position model. The record is from RNAcentral.
UACGGAGGAUGCGAGCGUUAUCCGGAUUUAUUGGGUUUAAAGGGUGCGUAGGCGGGCUUUUAAGUCAGCGGUAAAAAUUCGGGGCUCAACCCCGUCCGGCCGUUGAAACUGGGGGCCUUGAGUGGGCGAGAAGAAGGCGGAAUGCGUGGUGUAGCGGUGAAAUGCAUAGAUAUCACGCAGAACCCCGAUUGCGAAGGCAGCCUUCCGGCGCCCUACUUACGCUGAGGCACGAAAGUGCGGGGAUCGAACAGG